This 637-nucleotide ribosomal RNA is filed under the name uncultured Pelosinus sp. RNAcentral describes it as "bacterial SSU rRNA". It matches the Rfam family "Bacterial small subunit ribosomal RNA", at positions 67 to 684 of the family's 1533-position model. Lineage: Bacteria; Bacillati; Bacillota; Negativicutes; Selenomonadales; Sporomusaceae. The record is from RNAcentral.
CGGAGAUUUUAGCAAUAAAAUCUUAGUGGCGAACGGGUGAGUAACGCGUAGACAACCUGCCUUCCAGAUGGGGACAACACCGCGAAAGUGGUGCUAAUACCGAAUGUUGUAUUUUGGGUGCAUGCCUGAGAUACGAAAGGUGGCCUCUAUUUAUAAGCUACCGCUGGAAGAUGGGUCUGCGUCUGAUUAGCUAGUUGGUGGGGUAACGGCUCACCAAGGCGACGAUCAGUAGCCGGUCUGAGAGGAUGAACGGCCACACUGGGACUGAGACACGGCCCAGACUCCUACGGGAGGCAGCAGUGGGGAAUCUUCCGCAAUGGACGAAAGUCUGACGGAGCAACGCCGCGUGAGUGAAGAAGGUUUUCGGAUCGUAAAACUCUGUUUUCAGGGACGAAUGUGCUGUUUGUAAAUAAUGAACAGCAAUGACGGUACCUGACAAGAAAGCCACGGCUAACUACGUGCCAGCAGCCGCGGUAAUACGUAGGUGGCAAGCGUUGUCCGGAAUUAUUGGGCGUAAAGCGCGCGCAGGUGGGAUAUUAAGUCUGGUGUUAAAGUUCGGGGCUCAACCCCGUGAAGCAUUGGAUACUGAUAUUCUUGAGUGCAGGAGAGGAAAGUGGAAUUCCUAGUGUAGCGGUGA